UACGUAGGGUGCAAGCGUUGUUCGGAAUUACUGGGCGUAAAGCGGGUGUAGGUGGCGUUGUAAGUCAGAUGUGAAAGCCCUGGGCUUAACCCAGGAAGUGCGUCUGAUACUGCAGUGCUAGAGUGCGAUAGAGGAAGGUGGAAUUCCUGGUGUAGGGGUGAAAUCCGUAGAUAUUAGGAGGAAUACCAAUGGCGAAGGCAGCCUUCUGGCUCGUAACCGACACUCAGACCCGAAAGCGUGGGGAUCAAACAGG
This 253-nucleotide unclassified non-coding RNA is filed under the name uncultured Pseudobdellovibrionaceae bacterium. RNAcentral describes it as "uncultured Bdellovibrionaceae bacterium contains 16S-23S intergenic spacer region". It matches the Rfam family "Bacterial small subunit ribosomal RNA", at positions 524 to 776 of the family's 1533-position model. The record is from RNAcentral. Lineage: Bacteria; Pseudomonadati; Bdellovibrionota; Bdellovibrionia; Bdellovibrionales; Pseudobdellovibrionaceae.